CUGUCUAUUGUGGUGGCGUCAUAUAGAUUUGCCAAUGUAUAGUUUCUUCAAAUUGUGAAGUUAAUCCUAAUGUCUCAACUCUGGUCUUGUAGUAUGUUCUUAUAUAACACGUCUAUUGUUCCCGCGGACACCUUUUUCCUAUUGUUCUGGCAAAUUCGUCUCAGUGCAUUCAUCCUCUGAGUCAUCUGAUAUCACAACAGAUCCCAGUCUCCGUGGGGCUCACGUGCUGUUGUUGCUGAUAUUUUGUCUUGACGCCCAUCUUUGUUUAAUGUACUCCCAUUACUGUCAAUGUAGUUUCUCUUUUACACGCACCAGUUUGCAUGAAAGCCUGCUAGGUGAAACUUUAUUAUUCUGUGACUACAUACAUAUAAAUUUUAAAAAUUAGACACAUCUCUAAAAUCUGAAGUGUGUAUAGUUAAAAAAUCAAUCACCUUUUUAUCUGGCAUGUGCUUCUUCAUUAAUUAACAUGGUAUCAUCCAUCAAUUCCUGUGAAACAUAUGUAAGAUGAAUUAGUUAAGGAAUUCUAAAGAUGGUACUUCAUAUUUUUGAAAAAAAAAUGUUAAUGCAACUCUACCUCCUCGGCUUUAUCGUUCAAGUAGAGCAUCUCAAGCCUAUUAUCAGGCACAAAUGUAUUUUUACUGCAUAGUUUUGUGUGUCAAAGGUGAGAUUAUAUCAUUGAGCUUGAAUCAAAAUAUAAGUUUUUCCCAUAAUUGUUGAACAAUCUUUGGUGCUUCUUCUGAUUUCGCAUCCAGUGAGUUCAGCAAGUGAGAUGUAGAUGUAUUAAGCAAGUUAUUGUUCUCUCCACACGCUUCAUUUGUGUUAGUAGUUCAAUAACAUUUGUUUAUUUGGACAUUAUUUAUCAAUUAUAAAUAUUAACUAUCUGGAAGUCGUAAUUACAACUAUCAACAUACCUAAGCAUUGUGUAUCUUUUUCUGUCCUUGUAGUGUACCCAUGGUAGCAAACUCGCGACAAUAAUCCGAAAAAACUUUCGAAGAUCCUUUUAACUUUUACCUGUGUAUUGUAUGAAAAAAUAUAUUUUAAUUUCAUUGCUCAUUGGCCUAUAUUUUGUAGAUUCCACAACCUUAACAUUGCUGAAUGCAUAAAUAGAUUUCUCAUUGAUCUUUGAUCUAAACAUGUCUAUUAGAUUCUUCCAGAUAGUAGCAUGGACUGUUUCACCCUGCCAAAACAAUCAGAUAUGGAUUGACUGAAUCCCACACUCAUUGUGUUCACUUGAAUGUCCUAAUUAUGUCCGCUUGCCAGAAGUGCUUUGGCGUGACUUCUUCCAACGUUGAUUGGAGCAAUUGGGCGUGGCUUCAUCAGGCGUCAAGCAUGCUUUGGCGUAAAUUUGUCGGACGUCAAGUGAAGCAGCUGGGCAUGGAUUUUUCUGGUAGCUCCGAUGACUUCAAUCUGUUCAAGUCAUGGUGAUUGUCGACUUCUAAUUGCUUGGUGUGUGAUUGUGCGGCCGACUGUACUUGUUUAGACGGGUUGAGGUGGCUGAGACGUGUGGAAAUUUGAUCGUAACCUUGUACUAUUUUUUCUUUUUUAAAAUUUUCAUCACAUGAGAUGGGUUUGUAUGUAUUCGUUCCUGUUUUGGAAUUUUCAUCAUGUGAGAUACGUCUCCUACUUGCA
Triticum aestivum (bread wheat) is the source of this 1629-nucleotide long non-coding RNA. RefSeq lists it as uncharacterized. Lineage: Eukaryota; Viridiplantae; Streptophyta; Magnoliopsida; Poales; Poaceae. The record is from RefSeq and is a predicted model, not a curated record. The transcript is spliced from 3 exons.